GCUAGACUGGCAGAGAACAGCAAGGCUGGCACUGUGACCUACAGCUUCCAGGUGGCUCUGUCCCCAGGUUCCAGCUUGGCAUCAGGAUACCCCAGGAUACUCAACUCUGACCCCCUCACCAACAAAUUCACUGUGUCCAUGAUCAACACUAACAAAGCACAGGUAACAGUAACAGGUACUACCAACCUGGAUUUUGAGACAUCACCCAACAGCUUUGUCCUUCAGAUCCUCGCCGUGGACAGUACGAAGGACCUGGCUCUUCAGAGACUCACAGUGAUCCUAACUGACGUCAACGAACCCCCUGUAUUCCUAGAUGAAGAGUCUGUCCUGUAUGUUCUGGAGAAAUCC
Molecule: long non-coding RNA, 348 nt
Filed under: Salmo salar (Atlantic salmon)
Lineage: Eukaryota; Metazoa; Chordata; Actinopteri; Salmoniformes; Salmonidae
Description: lncRNA (ENSSSAG00000107428.1)
Source: RNAcentral